AAACCGUUUAGGGGUAAACCUGAGAAACCCGAAAGGUCGAAGGGAGAAAUUCAUUCGCGUUUCGCCGUUGGCGUGAGACGGUCGUGUGACGGAAAUCGUUCGCGUUUUCCGCACCUUUCGUUUUUCGAUCCGAUAGCGAACGCGUGCACUUUUCUCCUGGUAGGACGUCGCGAUCCGUUGGGUGUCGGUCUACGGCUCGCGGUGGAGCCCGGAUGUACGGCUUGCCGUCACGUCCGGACCCGCGUGUCCCGGCUGACUCGCUCGACGGUAUACGAAAGGUUUAAGGCCGCUCUUAGAGCGUUCGGCUCGUCGCAAGCGCGUCAGAUGUUUCGGUGAUCGGACCUAGUGCCGGUUCUGACCUCUGGCGACUGUUGGCGGCGAAGUUCUCGAACAGACCUUCGACCGAUCUGCGACGCUAUAGCUUUGGGUACUUUCAGGACCCGUCUUGAAACACGGACCAAGGAGUCUAGCAUGUGCGCAAGUCAUUGGGAAUCACUAAACCUAAAGGCGCAAUGAAAGUAAAGGUCCGCCUUGCGCGGACUGAGGGAAGACGAGCGGUUUACCCUUAAAAGUGGCCGCUCCGCAUUCCCGGGGCGUCUCAUUCUCAUCGCGAGAAGAGGCGCACCAAGAGCGUACACGCUGGGACCCGAAAGAUGGUGAACUAUGCCUGGUCAGGACGAAGUCAGGGGAAACCCUGAUGGAGGUCCGUAGCGAUUCUGACGUGCAAAUCGAUCGUCGGAACUGG
Molecule: ribosomal RNA, 745 nt
Filed under: Laparocerus uyttenboogaarti
Lineage: Eukaryota; Metazoa; Arthropoda; Insecta; Coleoptera; Curculionidae
Description: eukaryotic LSU rRNA
Rfam family: Eukaryotic large subunit ribosomal RNA
Source: RNAcentral